GAGAAAGUAUGCAAGAACUGCUAACUCUUCACCCCGUACAUAAUAGUGCGGCUUUCUCA
RNAcentral lists this transfer RNA (59 nucleotides) under Choeroniscus minor (lesser long-tailed bat). Its description in RNAcentral is "tRNA-Ser". Lineage: Eukaryota; Metazoa; Chordata; Mammalia; Chiroptera; Phyllostomidae. The record is from RNAcentral.